Molecule: ribosomal RNA, 460 nt
Filed under: uncultured bacterium
Lineage: Bacteria
Description: partial 16S ribosomal RNA
Rfam family: Bacterial small subunit ribosomal RNA
Source: RNAcentral
CCUACGGGAGGCAGCAGUGAGGAAUAUUGGUCAAUGGACGAGAGUCUGAACCAGCCAAGUAGCGUGAAGGAUGACUGCCCUAUGGGUUGUAAACUUCUUUUAUAUGGGAAUAAAAUGUUCCACGUGUGGGAUUUUGUAUGUACCAUAUGAAUAAGGAUCGGCUAACUCCGUUCCAGCAGCCGCGGUAAUACGGAGGAUCCGAGCGUUAUCCGGAUUUAUUGGGUUUAAAGGGAGCGUAGGUGGAUUGUUAAGUCAGUUGUGAAAGUUUGCGGCUCAACCGUAAAAUUGCAGUUGAAACUGGCAGUCUUGAGUACAGUAGAGGUGGGCGGAAUUCGUGGUGUAGCGGUGAAAUGCUUAGAUUUCACGAAGAACUCCGAUUGCGAAGGCAGUUCACUGGACUGCAACUGACACUGAGGCUCGAAAGUGUGGGUAUCAAACAGGAUUAGAUACCCCGGUAGUC